CUCUUUGUCUGAAACUUUGCAAAAUAAACUCCUUGGUCACCCCGUGCUUUGUGGGUAGCGAGCUGGAAUGGAAUUUUGCUGUCUUAAAUUGGGGGUUAAUUUCUUGGUUUCAGCUGAAUUGUGAAAGGGAGAGACAAGACCCUUGGAAAGGUAUGAAUAUGGAUGCUGAGGACUAGCCAGGCCCUCCCCUUCCAGCAGCUUCCAUGAGGGAUUCAGAGGCCGGCUGUUUCGAACCUCCCAUUAGUGAUGCUUCCAGCCCCCACCCCCACCCCCGCCCCCGCCCCCGCCUGCCAUGCAUUUAUCUUGCAAGGGCAUAUUUAGGAUGUUUCCCUUCUGUGUUAUCUGUAGAAUUACUUUCCAUUCGGAGGUCUUUUGUAUAAGUAUUCCCUUGAACCCGUUCCAAAAAGUGGGUUUUUAACCCAAUAGACCGUAACUGCAGUGUUUUAUUGUGCAUACAUGUUUCAAAAUGUGAAUGUAAGUAGAUUUAGCAAAGUUAAAAUAAAAUUAAAACUUUUCAAAGGGCACUAUGCUCGCUUUCCCUUGUUGGACUUUUCCCUUUGGAAUUCUUACACCAUUUGAAAGAUUCUCUACAAACACGAAGAGCUUUUCACAUGUCUGUCUGUCUUACUUGCUUGCUUUUUCCUUCUUUCUUGCUUGCUUGCUUGCUUGCUUUUUCUUUCUUGCUUGCUUGCUUUCUCUUUCUUCCUUCCUUCCUUGCUUGCUUGCUUUCUUGCUUUCUUCCUUGCUUGCUUUCUUUCACCUCCACAAGGGAUGGGGNCCACAGAUGGGUUUUGGCCUGUCUUUGUCCCCGCGGUGUCCUCGAUCAAAGUGUCGGAUGAAUUCUGAAUCUGUGAGUUAGCGCAUUUAGGUCAGCAUUGUAUUGUCAGUAAGAUGUGUAACUGGAGCGUUGCUUCUCCUCUUAUUUGGUCUUGAAAUCCCUUCUUCAGGCAGAAAUUCAAGUUGUUGCUCUAGUAUCACCACCAGGCUGUUGAACACUACCCUGCUAAAUCCUCUCACUGGCUGUCCGUAUCCUUCGGGAUAAAACCUUAAAUCCUUACCAGACCCCUUCAGUCGCCUGCCGGUCUCUGCAGCCUACUCUCUCAUCCUGUUCCCCGACUGCACAACCUGCCACAGGGCCUUUGCACCGGCUGCGGACAGCCUGGAGUAGUCUUUUCUCCUGCUUUAGCUAAUAAACUCUUUAGAGGCUCAAAGGAAUCGUCACUUUCAGCAGUUUGUGCAGUUACUUUAUCUUUCUUAGCUGUGUUUUCUUUUUAUUACAACUUUUUGGAAAGAAUUGAGGAAUAAGUGGUAUCAUUCACUGAAGCCCUUGGCAUCAUAGUUGGCACGUGGUAGGUGAGCAGGCUCUGAAUAUUAAGUAUCCUUGAGUCCUUUCCUUUGGAUUCUUGUGCUUCUUCUAUGGGUUUUGGUGGGAGGACCAGAGAUCAAGAAGAAGAGGGGAGAGUAAGGGUGGUUUUGGCACAACCUCUGUCACGCCCCCAGCAUACCAUGGAAAGGGCCUCUCUUCCCCACUACCAAGGUUUCAGUGACUGUUUCUCCCUCAGUUCCUGGGUUGAAAUCCUGAACGCGCUCCCCACCUGCCGCCCAGAGUUGACGGCAUUAGGUGCUGGGACCUUUGAGAGCUGCUUGGUUCCUGAGGGUAGAACUCUCAGCAGCGGGAUCAGCACCUUAUCAGGCCAGCUCCCAGCACUCCCCGCCCCCUGCGCCACCUGAGGAUGCAGUGACAUGGGGCCAGCUGUGAACAAGGAAGAGGACCGCUUUACUCUGCAGGCGUCCGUGGACCUUGACUUUGGACUUUCCAGCCUGUGCUAUUCUGCUCCAGCGGCUUGAAUGCACCAAGAUACCAUGUGCUCCCUUGGCUUCGUCACGCCCCUCCCCUGCCCCGGGUCGAAGGGAAAGAAGGGGCCAGGUGGAGGUGAGCACCCUCGCUCCUUAUCCUCCUCCUUUUACAGUGAAGACACUGAGGUUCGGGGCAAUUACGGGCCUCCCGUGGCGCCAGCCUCCACUCUUGCCGACCGCAAGCCCGCACAGGUGACUGUGCGUUUCGCGCAUGCCUUUAAAACAGAAGCGCGGGUUCAGGACUUUGGUUAGGUCCUUCCUGUGUUCUCCAGAACACACGCCGUGACACGGGCUCCCAGCCUUUCAUCGUGCAGCUCUCUGACACGUACACAGACAGGCCUCUGGCUCGCGCGAUGCUACUACAAAGGUCCCCUGCUUUUCAUAAACAGAUCGCUGCAAGGCCGCUUCUCGAGAAAGCAACUUCUGCUGCCCCCUGUGUGCUUUUAAGCUUUGCUGUGAAGUGCAAAGUCGAGCUGGCAGGCCUCUCUUUCUUCUCCACUUUAUGUAUGAUUCAUGAAGAAACUCGGCAGGUCAUGGGGUGUACCCUGCCACCUGGACCGUGCUGCCUCCCGAGAGCAUCACACAGGGGUCGGGACCCGUGUGACUCUGCGUGCAGGUAGGUCAGCGAGGGGAGCGGGAAAGAACCAUCCUGCAGGGUUUUAUUUUUUCAAGUUUCUCAUCGCGGAGAACAAUUCCAGCACUGCUAACCAAAGUGCCAUGUGUCCUUUUAAGAGCCUGAACCCCUAGGGGGGACCGAAGAGGCAGCCCCGAGACCAGGUGACAGUUAACCAUGGGGGUUGUACCUCUCAGUGCCCCCGACCCAGAGUAGGUGCUGGUUGGAGAUCCAGCCGGAUUCCCCUGGACCACAGACCUUUUUUCUACCAUGAGAGGUUCAUUCUUUUGAGGCUUUGAGAGCUUUGCUUUGAAAUACUAGUGCCCAGCAGAUGGGAACACCAGAAACUGCUGUCACCUAAGAGCUGGCUACGAGUUUAGUGUACAGCUAGUGUUUUGUUACACAUGCAUGUGCAAACACCCAAGUUCUGAGAUGACGUGCUUCCAUUUUUUGUAUGUUUGGCUGAUGUUUUGAUAUCUCUCUCACCUCCUCCCUCAUUCGUGCACCGCAUAGCUUUGAUUCGGAGAGCCCGUGGAAGUAUGAACGUUCUCGGGACUUAGAACUGAUGAGACUGCGUCCGGCCUAGAAACAUCCUGCGGCAGGAGCAAGGCCGAGGGCCAGUGGGCUAGAGGUUCGGCGCUAGGCUGGAGUGUGUGUUCGCAGGUGUGGGGGUGGGGGGUGAGAUUUUGGGGUAAGUGCUGAAUGUGUGAACAAGGAGGAGGACAAAGGACUCAGAGCAGGAAAGAGCCUGUAAAGCAUCUAGUAUUUAAAAACCCUCUGCCGCCUGCCAGACUGAGAGCUGUGACUUCUCUUGAGAGUCUUCACAGCAUCUGUCGUCUGUGGGGCCUGUUUCCUCACCGCACUCUCAGGAAGCCUUGCCCUCAUGGUGAGACUUCAGAUCCAAGGCGAGGUACGAAAGCCAGGCUCUUUCCCCUCAGUAGCAGCGGCUGCGUGUUGUCUGACUCGGGGUUUGCUGAGGUCUGGCCCUGGGCUAGAGUUGGGUGUAUGAACCUCUUCCAGGCGACACCUCAAGUAUUUGGCCCUCGGGUUGGAUCCCUUGAUCCACCUCCAAAGAGGCAGGAGGAGGGAUGGCAGGUGGCCUUGCUUCUGGGCCACCCCGCCUCAGGUUCUGAUUGGAGGGCCUCUCAGUCAGCUCCUCUGCGAGGAAGGGGAGGCUUUCUAACAUGUGGUCUCCAGCCAGACGAGAGGGGAGACGGAAUUACUUGCAAUGAAUUGUCACGGACUUGGCGUGUCCUCCCAAAAUUCAUACAGUGAAGCUGUAAUGCCCAACAUCAUAGCAUUUGGGGCCUGUGGGAGGUUACAGUUUGGAUUAGGCGAUGAGAGCAGGACCCUCAUGAUGGAAUGAUGCCCUUAUAAGAAGAGGAAGGAGUUCCCGUCGUGGCGCAGUGGUUAACGAAUCUGACUAGGAACCAUGAGGUUGUGGGUUCGCUCCCUGGCCUUGCUCUGUGGGUUAACGAUCCGGCGUUGCCAUGAGCUGUGGUGUAGGUCGCAGACACAGCUCGGAUCCCGCAUUGCUGUGGCUCUGGCGUAGGGCAGUGGCUACAGCUCCGAUGCAACCCCUAGCCUGGGAACCUCCAUAUGCCGCGGGAGCGGCCCAAGAAAUGGCAAAAAGACAAAAAAAAUAAAAA
This 4119-nucleotide long non-coding RNA is filed under the name Sus scrofa (pig). Its description in RNAcentral is "lncRNA (ENSSSCG00040000629.1)". The record is from RNAcentral. Lineage: Eukaryota; Metazoa; Chordata; Mammalia; Artiodactyla; Suidae.